GCCGGGCGUGGUGGCGCGUGCCUGUAGUCCCAGCUACUCAGGAGGCUGAGGUGGCAGGAUCGAUUGAGUCCAGGAGUUCUGGGCUGCAGUGCGCUAUGCCGAUCGGGUGUCCGCACUAAGUUAUCCGCACUAAGUUCAGCAUCAAUUUGGUGACCUCCCCGGAGCAGGGGACCACCAGGUUGCCUAAGGAGGGGUGAACUGGCCCAGGUCGGAAACGGAGCAGGUCAAAACUCCUAUGCUGAUCAGUAGUGGGAUCGCGCCUGUGAAUAGCCACUGCACUCCAGCCUGGGCAAUAUAGUGAGACCUUGCCUCUU
Non-coding RNA from Cavia porcellus (domestic guinea pig), 314 nucleotides. It matches the Rfam family "Metazoan signal recognition particle RNA". Rfam says of the family: The signal recognition particle (SRP) is a universally conserved ribonucleoprotein. It is involved in the co-translational targeting of proteins to membranes. The eukaryotic SRP consists of a 300-nucleotide 7S RNA and six proteins: SRPs 72, 68, 54, 19, 14, and 9. The record is from Rfam. NCBI's taxonomy places the organism in Eukaryota, Metazoa, Chordata, Mammalia, Rodentia, Caviidae.